AGAUUCCGGAGAUGUUUGCAGGACAAAGGAGCUUGUCUGGGCGAAGAAAAGUUUUCCCUCUUGUGAGCGCGGAGUGAGGAAGUCACGUACUUCACCACAGCAUUUAACGAGCAAUUGAGUGUUUCUACUUCAGAUAAACAAGGUGUGUUUCUGUGACCCAGGAUGUCUACCAAGCGCGGCGUUAGGCCUGAUGAAGGCCUGAUGAUGAUGCAGGAGCUGGACGACCGUCUGAAAGAGCAGACUGACAAACUGGAGCAUGUUCGCCUUGCUGCAGUUGAACUGAAGGACAGCUUGUCUGGGAACAACAGUGAUCUGUCCCAGUCUAUCGCUGACCAUCUGGAAUGGUUGAAUCACUUGUCAGAGCGAUUAGAGACUCUUCACAUGAACACAGCUGUUUUUGUUCAGAUGAAUCCUAAGCCUCGUGCAUGGGCAGGGAAGCAGGGUUCCAAACAUGGCGGAUACCGAUUGGGACGCUUCCAGCAGGCUGAGGACGCCCAGUCGGAGUUUGGCUGGUCUCCCAUCCGCACACGACGAAACAGUGAUGCUGCCUCUGAAAUGUCUUGUAACUGGUGACCUGGUCGACUGUGGCCAAUAGAUCAACUGUGGUUGCAAUUUAAUGCUAUCACCAUUGCUCAGAGACGUGGGGAGGAUGUUGAGACAACCAAGAAAUGGUCUGCAGGGCAGAACAAACAGCAUCUUGUCACAAAGAACACAGCCAAACUGGACCGGGAAACAGAGGAGCUACACCAUGAAAGGGUCCCCCUAGAGGUGGGCAAGGUCAUUCAGCUAGGCAGACAGGAGAAAGGCAUGACCCAGAAAGACCUGGCCACU
This is an RNA transcript of Micropterus dolomieu (smallmouth bass), 831 nucleotides long. It is a transcript of the gene named endothelial differentiation-related factor 1, with no coding region annotated. The record is from RefSeq and is a predicted model, not a curated record. The transcript has 6 exons. Lineage: Eukaryota; Metazoa; Chordata; Actinopteri; Centrarchiformes; Centrarchidae.